RNAcentral lists this ribosomal RNA (497 nucleotides) under uncultured bacterium. Its description in RNAcentral is "partial 16S ribosomal RNA". It matches the Rfam family "Bacterial small subunit ribosomal RNA", at positions 28 to 507 of the family's 1533-position model. The record is from RNAcentral.
GAUGAACGCUGGCGGCGUGCCUAAUACAUGCAAGUCGAGCGAACGGACGAGAAGCUUUCUUCUCUGAUGUUAGCGGCGGACGGGUGAGUAACACGUGGAUAACCUACCUAUAAGACUGGGAUAACUUCGGGAAACCGGAGCUAACACCGGAUAAUAUUUUGAACCGCAUGGUUCAUAAGUGAAAGACGGUCUUGCUGUCCCUUAUAGAUGGUUCCUGGCUGCAUUAGCUAGUUGGUAAGGUAACGGCUUACCAAGGCAACGAUGCGUAGCUGACCUGAGAGGAUGAUCAGCCACACUGGAACUGAGACACGGUCCAGACUCCUACGGGAGGCAGCAGUAGGGAAUCUUCCGCAAUGGGCGAAAGCCUGACGGAGCAACGCCGCGUGAGUGAUGAAGGUCUUCGGAUCGUAAAACUCUGUUAUUAGGGAAGAACAUAUGUAUAAGUAACUGUGCACAUCUUGACGGUACCUAAUCAGAAAGCCACGGCUAACUACGUG